AGUUUGAUCCUGGCUCAGAUUGAACGCUGGCGGUAUGCCUUACACAUGCAAGUCGAACGGUAGAGGAGCAAUCCUCGAGAGUGGCGAACGGGUGAGUAAUACAUCGGAACGUGCCCAGUCGUGGGGGAUAACGUAGCGAAAGCUACGCUAAUACCGCAUACGACCCGAGGGUGAAAGCGGGGGACUCGCAAGAGCCUCGCGCGAUUGGAGCGGCCGAUGGCAGAUUAGGUAGUUGGUGGGGUAAAGGCCCACCAAGCCUGCGAUCUGUAGCUGGUCUGAGAGGACGACCAGCCACACCGGGACUGAGACACGGCCCAGACUCCUACGGGAGGCAGCAGUGGGGAAUUUUGGACAAUGGGCGAAAGCCUGAUCCAGCCAUACCGCGUGCGGGAAGAAGGCCUUCGGGUUGUAAACCGCUUUUGUCAGGGAAGAAAUACUUCGGGCUAAUACCCUGGGGUGAUGACGGUACCUGAAGAAUAAGCACCGGCUAACUACGUGCCAGCAGCCGCGGUAAUACGUAGGGUGCAAGCGUUAAUCGGAAUUACUGGGCGUAAAGCGUGCGCAGGCGGUUCUAUAAGACAGAUGUGAAAUCCCCGGGCUCAACCUGGGAACUGCAUUUGUGACUGUAGAGCUAGAGUACGG
RNAcentral lists this ribosomal RNA (642 nucleotides) under uncultured bacterium. RNAcentral's name for it is "bacterial SSU rRNA". It matches the Rfam family "Bacterial small subunit ribosomal RNA", at positions 10 to 651 of the family's 1533-position model. The record is from RNAcentral.